GGGUUGUGAGGUUAAGCGACUAAGCGUACACGGUGGAUGCCCUGGCAGUCAGAGGCGAUGAAGGACGUGCUAAUCUGCGAUAAGCGUCGGUAAGGUGAUAUGAACCGUUAUAACCGGCGAUUUCCGAAUGGGGAAACCCAGUGUGAUUCGUCACACUAUCAUUAACUGAAUCCAUAGGUUAAUGAGGCGAACCGGGGGAACUGAAACAUCUAAGUACCCCGAGGAAAAGAAAUCAACCGAGAUUCCCCCAGUAGCGGCGAGCGAACGGGGAGGAGCCCAGAGCCUGAAUCAGUGUGUGUGUUAGUGGAAGCGUCUGGAAAGGCGCGCGAUACAGGGUGACAGCCCCGUACACAAAAAUGCACAUGCUGUGAGCUCGAUGAGUAGGGCGGGACACGUGGUAUCCUGUCUGAAUAUGGGGGGACCAUCCUCCAAGGCUAAAUACUCCUGACUGACCGAUAGUGAACCAGUACCGUGAGGGAAAGGCGAAAAGAACCCCGGCGAGGGGAGUGAAAAAGAACCUGAAACCGUGUACGUACAAGCAGUGGGAGCACGCUUAGGCGUGUGACUGCGUACCUUUUGUAUAAUGGGUCAGCGACUUAUAUUCUGUAGCAAGGUUAACCGAAUAGGGGAGCCGAAGGGAAACCGAGUCUUAACUGGGCGUUAAGUUGCAGGGUAUAGACCCGAAACCCGGUGAUCUAGCCAUGGGCAGGUUGAAGGUUGGGUAACACUAACUGGAGGACCGAACCGACUAAUGUUGAAAAAUUAGCGGAUGACUUGUGGCUGGGGGUGAAAGGCCAAUCAAACCGGGAGAUAGCUGGUUCUCCCCGAAAGCU
Molecule: ribosomal RNA, 833 nt
Filed under: Escherichia coli
Lineage: Bacteria; Pseudomonadati; Pseudomonadota; Gammaproteobacteria; Enterobacterales; Enterobacteriaceae
Description: partial 23S ribosomal RNA
Rfam family: Bacterial large subunit ribosomal RNA
Source: RNAcentral